Molecule: ribosomal RNA, 372 nt
Filed under: uncultured organism
Description: bacterial SSU rRNA
Rfam family: Bacterial small subunit ribosomal RNA
Source: RNAcentral
CGUAGGGGGCAAGCGUUGUCCGGAUUUAUUGGGCGUAAAGCGCUCGCAGGUGGUUCGUCGCGUCGUGCGUGAAAGACCCCGGCUCAACUGGGGGGCGUCGUGCGAUACGGGCGGACUGGAGGCCAGUAGGGGGAUGCGGAAUUCCGGGUGUAGUGGUGGAAUGCGUAGAGAUCCGGAGGAACACCAGCGGCGAAGGCGGCAUCCUGGACUGGUCCUGACACUCAGGAGCGAAAGCGUGGGGAGCGAUCCGGAUUAGAUACCCGGGUAGUCCACGCUGUAAACGAUGAGCACUAGGUGUCGGGGGUAUCGACCCCCUCGGUGCCGCAGCUAACGCGAUAAGUGCUCCGCCUGGGGACUACGGCCGCAAGGCUA